Molecule: ribosomal RNA, 369 nt
Filed under: uncultured eukaryote
Lineage: Eukaryota
Description: partial 18S ribosomal RNA
Rfam family: Eukaryotic small subunit ribosomal RNA
Source: RNAcentral
CAAUAGCGUAUAUUAAAGUUGUUGCGGUUAAAAAGCUCGUAGUUGGAUUUCUGGUCGGAAGCUCCUGUCCUCUGAUGAGCGUACAAGUGCGUCCUACCAUCCUUCUGUUAACCUUUAAGGCUUUCGCGGCUUUCUAGGGGCUCAGAUAUUUUACCUUGAGAAAAUUAGAGUGUUUCAGGCAGGCUAGCGCCGGAAUACAUUAGCAUGGAAUAAUGGAAUAGGACUUUUGCCUCUUCUGUUGGUCAUGAGGCUCGAGUAAUGAUUAAUAGGGAUAGUUGGGGGCAUUAGUACUUAACUGUCAGAGGUGAAAUUCUCGGAUUUGUUAAAGACUAACUUAUGCGAAAGCAUUUGCCAAGGAUGUUUUCAUUA